GACGAACCGUGCGAACGUUAUUCGGAAUCACUGGGCUUAAAGCGCGUGUAGGCGGGCCGCCACGUCGGUCGUUGAAAGCCCCCGGCUCAACCGGGGAACCGGCGCCGAUACGAGUGGCUUGGAGGGGGGUAGGGGGACCUGGAACUUCCGGUGGAGCGGUGAAAUGCGUUGAGAUCGGAAGGAACGCCCGUGGCGAAAGCGAGGUCCUGGACCCCAUCUGACGCUGAGACGCGAAAGCCAGGGGAGCGAACGGG
This 254-nucleotide ribosomal RNA is filed under the name uncultured bacterium. Its description in RNAcentral is "partial 16S ribosomal RNA". It matches the Rfam family "Bacterial small subunit ribosomal RNA", at positions 524 to 776 of the family's 1533-position model. The record is from RNAcentral.